This 440-nucleotide ribosomal RNA is filed under the name uncultured bacterium. RNAcentral's name for it is "partial 16S ribosomal RNA". It matches the Rfam family "Bacterial small subunit ribosomal RNA", at positions 338 to 795 of the family's 1533-position model. The record is from RNAcentral.
CCUACGGGUGGCAGCAGUGGGGAAUAUUGCACAAUGGGGGAAACCCUGAUGCAGCGACGCCGCGUGAGUGAAGAAGUAAUUCGUUAUGUAAAACUCUUUCAGCAGGGAAGAACAUGACGGUACCUGAGUAAGAAGCCCCGGCAAACUACGUGCCAGCCGCCGCUGUACUACGUAGGGGGCAAGCGUUAUCCGGGUUUACUGGGGGUAAAGGGAGCGUAGACGGCAGUGCAAGUCUGGAGUUAAAGGCGGGGGCUCAAACCCCGGACUGCUCUGGAAACGGUACGGCUGGAGUGCAGGAGAGGUAAGUGGAAUUCCUAGUGUAGCGGUGACAUGCGUAGAUAGUAGGAGGAACACCAGUGGCGAAGGCGGCUUACUGGACUGUAACUGACGUUGAGGCUCGAAAGCGUGGGGAGCAAACAGGAUUAGAUACCCCAGUAGUC